UUGAACGCUGGCGGCAUGCCUUACACAUGCAAGUCGAACGGCAGCACGGACUUCGGUCUGGUGGCGAGUGGCGAACGGGUGAGUAAUAUAUCGGAACAUACCCUAGAGUGGGGGAUAACGUAGCGAAAGUUACGCUAAUACCGCGUACGCACUAAGGUGGAAAGUGGGGGAUCGCAAGACCUCUUGCUCAUGGAGUGGCCGAUAUCUGAUUAGCUAGUUGGUGAGGUAAAGGCUCACCAAGGCGACGAUCAGUAGCUGGUUUGAGAGAACGACCAGCCACACUGGAACUGAGACACGGUCCAGACUCCUACGGGAGGCAGCAGUGGGGAAUUUUGGACAAUGGGCGCAAGCCUGAUCCAGCAAUGCCGCGUGAGUGAAGAAGGCCUUCGGGUUGUAAAGCUCUUUUGUCAGGGAAGAAACGGUUGUGGCUAAUAUCCAUGGCUAAUGACGGUACCUGAAGAAUAAGCACCGGCUAACUACGU
RNAcentral lists this ribosomal RNA (482 nucleotides) under uncultured bacterium. RNAcentral's name for it is "bacterial SSU rRNA". It matches the Rfam family "Bacterial small subunit ribosomal RNA", at positions 30 to 506 of the family's 1533-position model. The record is from RNAcentral.